Molecule: long non-coding RNA, 635 nt
Filed under: Homo sapiens (human)
Lineage: Eukaryota; Metazoa; Chordata; Mammalia; Primates; Hominidae
Description: HSALNT0092513
Source: RNAcentral
UUCUGAGCAUGAAGUCUUUCCUUCCAAGUAUGGGACAGGAUCUUCUCCGUAAUGGGGGUCAUAUAACCUACAGUCAAAUAAGGGACUGUGUUAUGCACUUCAGAUGAGGAAUACAAAAUACAAAAUUCCUUAUAAGUUGUGGAAUAAAAGAUGCAAGACAAAACAAGCAGUGCCGAAGACACACGGACCACAUUAAUCAGAAAGAAGCAGGGUGCUAAAUGAAGAGGCCAAGAGAUCCUCUUGGGAUAUCUGGGAUUAUUUCACAGAGAAGAAACCUAAAUUCUUAACCUAGAUUCUCAAAGUAUGAGGAGUAAGCAAGCAGAUACUGCGAGUAGAGAUGACACCAAUGAAAACACAAUGGACAUGAGAAAAUAAGGGCACUGCAAACACAAUUACACACCCAAAGCCUAAUUUUCAACUAAGGAAACUUGAGUCCCAGACUGCCCAGCAUUGUAAAAUGUACGAAGAGAUUUAGGUUUUAUUCUUCAGCAGACAAAAUGCACUGACUUUUUUUGUUUGUUUGUUUAAUUGAGGAGUGGUAUGAUUCCAUAACGGAUUUAAAAGAGUAAAUGUGUUAGGACUGGGAGAUUGAUUGGCAUGGGAAGAUGAUAGCAAGGAGACCAGGCUAUUAGAGG